AUACCAAAACGUUUUGAAAGACUCGUCGGCCAUUAACAGUAACGAGCGUUUUGUUGUCAACGUGCAGUUAUUUAACUUCUCCGGUACGCUUAACUGAAACGAUUCGAAACAUUCUUGAACAUCGAAGAACUGGAAGAUCUCAGUUUCGAAGACGACCUUUACGGCGAAAUUUCGAGCUUUACCAAAGAUAUUAGGACCAAUACAAGGUGCAGCGACAUGGAAGAAGAUGACCUGCCUCUGACGAAAUAUCUUCUCCAGUUUAAUACCGAACAGCAAUGGGAUUCAGAAGAAGAAAUUAGUAUUGAAAGUUUUGAAGGCAACACAUGUGCUGACCACCUAGGAUGGGAUAUGGAUCCGGUUGAUUUGGACACAGAGAUAUUCGAUAUUGUAGAGGCUACUCCUGAUAAAACAGAUGCUUCCAGCAAAGAGGAGCAAGUAAAAGAGUUGAAAGGGAGAGUGGAGAAGUCGGGUCCCGUCAGAGAGACAAGCAAUGUGGGGAAUUUACAAGAGGACGUAGACUUAAGCUUAUUUCAUGAUAAGAGUGAUAGCGGUAAGAAACAGGAGAUCAAGAAAAAGAACACUGCGGGUAAAAGUCUUUCGAAAGUUGAUUCAGUUCCUAAUGGAAGAAAAUCAACAAAAAGUCAAACACAGUUUAAGAUGGCUGUAAAGAGUGUUUCUAAUUCAACAACUGAGCCUCAGAAAUCCCCGACCACUGCAAAAAGUCAGGCCGAGAAAGCUAAAGAACAGCGUGAAAGAAAGAAGAAAUAUGUUCAAGAACUCCAGGAUAACAUAGAAGAACUGAAGAAAGACAAGGCUGACUUACAGCAGGUCACUGCUCAGCUAAACGACAAAUUAGAAGCUCUCACGGAUGAGAUCCGCUACUUAAAAGGUGUAAUCACCAAUCAAAGUGAAUUAGCCAGAAUUUUGAGGAGUGUGGCCAACACUCCAGGGAUUUCACUCAGCUGCGGCAUAUUGCAGGACUGUGAGGAGGGUAAUGAUGGUAAGACAAACAAGAGAAAAUGUGGUGAUGCUCCAAAUGAUUCUGGUAAGAAGGGUGUUAAUUUACGUCAAGAAAACAGCAAGAGAAGGAGAGUAGACAAGACAGCUACUGGUGAAAUCAGUCCUGUUGAUGCUGGGGUGUGUGUUCAUGUGCAGAGUGGUAAAGUAUCUCUUGAGUUCUGUGCAGAGUGCAGCAAGAAAGCCAACAGUAUCAUAAACUGAAGUGAACCAAAGCUAAAGGGAAAUGUAAUUAAUUAUUGCAUAGCUAUGAAGAUCCCUCUUCCCAACAGUAGUUAGGGAUUCAGUCGAACUGUUUCCACAUGACUGCAGCAAACUCAGCGUCAGUCAUUCAGGCUAGCAUGGUGGGCCUUUGUCUUGUAGUUUAGGGAUUUGCAGCUAUAGUAUUGGUUUGUACACAGUCAGGUAGAUUUUAUUGACUACAAGUAACUUGGUAAGUUGCUUAUUACUGGCUUAAAUCAGGUUAGUGCUGUACAAUUCAAAUCUGAACAGAAGCCAUUUAACUCAAAGUCAGGAAAUUUUUCCCAUGUCAGUCAUUUGCUGCAGUCAUUUGGAAACAGAUUCCCAAGAGAAAGCCGGCGCCUUUAUACAAGGUUGAUAUUUAGCACUAACAAAGGGAGUGAUCUCCCACAGUCUUUUCUCCUUGCAGGUUUCAACCAACAUUUGUGGACAUUUGAUGUUGACACAUCUGGUGCUGGAAUGAAUGCACUGUAGCGGAUACUUGCAACUCCUUGCACCCUCCGGAGUCAAGUGUCUUUCCUUGGGGUGUGGUUUUAGUGUAAGUAAUGUUCCUUCACGGUUUAGUAAGUAUAAGUAUGUGAGGAACACAGGUAAUGGUUGUAAUGUAAGACUGUCACAAAAUACAUUCUCUUUUUGUAAUUUAUCUUUAAAGGGACUCUUUUAAUUGCAUUAUUCCUUCUCAGUAACAACAGAUUUUCUUAGGAAGAUGUAGGGACCUCCUCCUCCUCCUACCCUCCCCUCCCUCCUGUCCACCCACCAUGCCAAAAGAAAAGUUGUCAAUACCAGUAAUUUGACCUUCAGAAGCAUCAGCAACUCAGAAACAACUUUCCAUCACCAGGAAAGUGUGUCGAUUAAGCUAGAGGUUUGCGCAGGCCUGGGGUGAAACAGUGUUACAUGUUUAUUUACGAUUAACGUAAUCUUAUCACUACAUGUACAUACAACUUACGGUAUAUUGUUGUACUAGCCUGUUAUAAAUUGUAGCAAUUCAUGGAAUCUGAAUUUGAAUAGAAUAUUUUUCUCUGAUUUUGAACAUGAGAAUUCAGAAGGACCGAGGUAAAAUGGUGUAUGUAAGAACAACUUUUUUUAUAUAUUAUUAAUUAUGUAGUGGCAAUGUUACUUUAAAUUAAGAAGUUUGGGUACUACCGGUACAUGUAUGUUACUAGAAGCUGAGAACAGAAAUGAUACUACACAAUCUUAGCUCAAAAUGGUUAUAUUGUAAUGGUAAAGCGAAACUGGUUUAGUAAAGUUGUGAAAUAAAACAUGAUUAUGCCAGAUUA
Molecule: unclassified non-coding RNA, 2534 nt
Filed under: Orbicella faveolata
Lineage: Eukaryota; Metazoa; Cnidaria; Anthozoa; Scleractinia; Merulinidae
Description: uncharacterized LOC110043141, transcript variant X2
Source: RNAcentral